Long non-coding RNA from Peromyscus eremicus (cactus mouse), 950 nucleotides. RefSeq lists it as uncharacterized. The record is from RefSeq and is a predicted model, not a curated record. The transcript is spliced from 2 exons. Lineage: Eukaryota; Metazoa; Chordata; Mammalia; Rodentia; Cricetidae.
UUUAGCAUUCUUUGGAGUCAUAGAGCUCAUUAAGCAAGUUUUUUUUUCUCUGCUUGUGAGAAACCAUUUUGGAAGUCACUUAUAGUUGAACAUUCUAUGACUAUUUGUGUGUAAUUCAGUUUCCUUACCUAUAAAACAAUGUUUUGCACUAUACUCCAGCCCAUCAGUGGGCUCUGCCAUGGACAUUCCAGUCAACCCAAGGCACUCUUCACAUUUCCCAGGCAAGGAGGACAAAGGCCACUAUUUUCUCUCCUAGCAGCACAUUGAUGACAAGAGCAGGCUAUUUCAUUGGCUAAGUAACAGCAGUGUGGCCACUCACCACUUCAAGAAAUUUGCCAAUUAAUUCAGAAUUCUGAACAAAAGAACAUCGGUGAUCAAAGUGAGAUACAUCUGCUCCUGGUAGCAUCAAUCUACUUCAGAGAAGAUGAUGGGCAUUGAAGAACCUCCAUAUGGAGUUUGCUUUAAGUGUGGCAAAGCUAGGCACUGGGCAAGAAAUUGUCCUUGCCUCAACUGCUGACAGUAUGCUGCCCAAAUUGGACAAGCAGGACACAAAAGAAAGCCGCCCAAAUUGGACAAGCAGGACACAAAAGAAAGCAACUGCCAAACUUUGCCAAGACAAGGUAGUACAGUCCUUCAAAUUUUUCUGCUUCACAGAAAAGUCUGUCAGAUAUUCUAGGAGGCCUAUAAGACAAAUAUGGAUGCCCCAACAUUGCAGAGGAAUCUUGAGUGACUUUCCAGGCAGCCAGCUGUCUCUGCCAUUUCUAUAGUUUUAGAAGUUGCUUGUUCUGUACUUCCUCUUUACUCAGGUAAUAUUUUAUCCAUUUCAGGUCUCUGAUGGUGUUGAAUAACAGAUAGUUAUAGUUUUAUCAUUUUCUUUGUUACCAACUUCAAAAAAGAAACUCACAAAAGAGAUGUAAAGUUUAUAAAGGUUGAGAGACAUAAAAGCUUAA